This 1056-nucleotide long non-coding RNA is filed under the name Homo sapiens (human). RNAcentral's name for it is "HIF1A stabilizing long noncoding RNA". The record is from RNAcentral. Lineage: Eukaryota; Metazoa; Chordata; Mammalia; Primates; Hominidae.
GGUAAAAGUCAUCGCCAUUCUCUAAUCUUGAGUACCCAGGGACACGAUACACUGCGGAAGGCUGCAGGGACCUCUGCCCAGGAAAGCCAGGUGGUUUCCAAAAGGAAAAGCUUUGGGAGAUAGAAGUCCUCGUUUUGACCUCUGCCCUCCUUGUACACCAGGAGCCAGAAAAACUUCAUCUCUUUUACAAGAAACAUUGAGAUUCCUGUAAAAUUAAGAAAUCACACAAUUUGAUGGUCUACAUUAUCUAAAGCAAAUGAGACUUCUAUUUGGAACAAAGACUACCUUGUUGGGAAAUGAGUCUGCAAGUUAAAGUGUUUUCUGUUUUCUAAGGAUAAUGGUCUCCAGCUUCGUCAAUGUUCCUGCAAAGGACAUGAUGCUGACUUUGAAGAUGCAAGCUUCCACAUCUACAGCCUCAAGGAAACAAAUUCAGCCAACCAACUGAGGGAGCUUUCCUUGUCCUGCCUCAAGAUGAGAUCACAGUCUGCCCAACACCAUGAUUUAGGCCUUGUGACACCUGAGCUCAGAUGGAAAAGAAUGGUGUUACUGAGACCCUUCAAGAUUCCCAGUGUAAUUCAAUAAAGAAAAGGCAACACAAAGGGGUUGUAUAGAAUUCGCCACAUUAUGGACCCAUGUCAUAGAGAGAAUCCACGGUGCAUUUGUUAGCUGCAUUUAAAUGACAACACUUUCAGAUCCAAGAUUUAUUUGGGAUAAAAAUUUACCUGGAUGCAAGGCUAUUCAGAAUGAAGAUUAAUGAUAUGGUUUGGCUGUGUCCCCACCCAAACUUCAUCUUGAAUUCCCACGUGUUGUGAGAGGGACCUGGUGGGAGAUAAUUGAACCAUGGGGGCAGGUCUUUCUCAUGCUGUUCUCAUGAGAGUGAAUAAGUCUCAUGAAACCUGAUGGUUUUAUAAGGGGGAAUUUCCCUGCACAAGCUCUCUCUCUGCCUUUUGCCAUCCAUGUAAGACGUGACUUGGUCCUCCUUGCCUUCUACCAUGAUUAUGAGGCCUCCCCAGCCACGUGGAACUGUGAGUCCAUUAAACCUCUUUCUUUUGUAAA